CUGUUCAUCAAGGACCAGACUAAAGACUCU
RNAcentral lists this non-coding RNA (30 nucleotides) under Mus musculus (house mouse). The record is from RNAcentral. Lineage: Eukaryota; Metazoa; Chordata; Mammalia; Rodentia; Muridae.